AUGAGUCGACCUGAUGGGAUCAACAUCCUCGACGACAAGUUCUACCUUGGAGAUGCUGGCUAUGCAUGUCGGUCGGGUAUUCUUCCACCCUCCAGGAAAACUAGGCACCAUCUCAACGAGUUCUCUGGUAGGAACUAUCCUAUGACUGCACAUAAGCUGUUUAAUCUCAAACACUCCAGCCUUAGAGUAACUGUUGAGAGGAUUGGAGCUUUGAAGAAUAUGUUUAAGAUCCUGGAUCAGAAGCCAUUCCAUCCAUACUCCACUCAGGUUAAGCUUGUUCUUGCUUGUUGCAUUCUGCAUAACUGGAUCCUCUGGUAG
This 318-nucleotide ribosomal RNA is filed under the name Triticum aestivum (bread wheat). RNAcentral's name for it is "partial small subunit ribosomal RNA". Lineage: Eukaryota; Viridiplantae; Streptophyta; Magnoliopsida; Poales; Poaceae. The record is from RNAcentral.